RNA transcript from Homo sapiens (human), 575 nucleotides. It is a transcript of the gene named keratin 19 pseudogene 2, with no coding region annotated. NCBI's taxonomy places the organism in Eukaryota, Metazoa, Chordata, Mammalia, Primates, Hominidae. The transcript has a single exon. The record is from RefSeq and is marked validated.
CCACCAUUGAGAACGCCAGGAUUGUCCUGCAGAUCAACAAUGCUCAACUGGCUGCAGAUGACUUCUGAACCAAGUUUGGUUUGAGUGUUUGGGUGCUGGAUGAGGUGACCCUGGCCAGGACUGAUCUGGAGGCACAGAUCAAAGGCCUGAAGGAAGAGCUGGCCUACCUGAAGAAGAAGCAUGAGGAGGAAAUCAAUGCCCUGAGGGGCCAAGUGGGAGACCAGGUCCAUGUGAGGGUGGAUUCAGCUCGGACCUGCCAAGAUCCUGAGUGACAGGCAAAGCCAAUAUGAGAUCAUGGCCAAGCAGAACUGGAAGGAUGCUGAAGCCUGGUUCACCAGCUGGACUGAGGAACUGAACCAGGAGGUCACUGGCCACAUAGAGCAGCUCCAGAUAAGCAGGUCUGAGGUCACUGACCUGCAGUGCACCCUCCAGGGUCUUGAGAUUGAGCUGCACUCGCAGCUCAGCGUGAAAGCUCCCUUAGAAGGCACACUGGCAGAAACAGAGGCAUGCUUUGGAGCCCAGCUGGUGCAGAUCCAGGCACUGAUCAGCAGUAUUGAAGCCCAGCUGGGCGAUGU